Molecule: ribosomal RNA, 253 nt
Filed under: uncultured bacterium
Lineage: Bacteria
Description: partial 16S ribosomal RNA
Rfam family: Bacterial small subunit ribosomal RNA
Source: RNAcentral
UACAGAGGUGGCAAGCGUUGUUCGGAAUUACUGGGCGUAAAGGGCGCGUAGGUGGUCUUGUAAGUCUUGUGUGAAAUCCCUUGGCUCAACCGAGGAACUGCACGGGAAACUGCCUGACUUGAGUUCGGGAGAGGGACGUGGAAUUCCGGGUGUAGCGGUGAAAUGCGUAGAUAUCCGGAGGAACACCGGUGGCGAAGGCGGCGUCCUGGACCGACACUGACACUGAGGCGCGAAAGCUAGGGGAGCAAACGGG